Molecule: ribosomal RNA, 460 nt
Filed under: uncultured bacterium
Lineage: Bacteria
Description: partial 16S ribosomal RNA
Rfam family: Bacterial small subunit ribosomal RNA
Source: RNAcentral
CCUACGGGUGGCAGCAGUGAGGAAUAUUGGUCAAUGGACGAGAGUCUGAACCAGCCACGUAGCGUGAAGGAUGACUGCCCUAUGGGUUGUAAACUUCUUUUAUAUGGGAAUAAAAUGUUCCACGUGUGGGAUUUUGUAUGUACCAUAUGAAUAAGGAUCGGCUAACUCCGUGCCAGCAGCCGCGGUAAUACGGAGGAUCCGAGCGUUAUCCGGAUUUAUUGGGUUUAAAGGGAGCGUAGGUGGAUUGUUAAGUCAGUUGUGAAAGUUUGCGGCUCAACCGUAAGAUUGCAGUUGAAACUGGCAGUCGUGAGUACAGUGGUGGUGGGCGGAAUACGUGGUGUAGCGGUGAAGAGCUUAGAUAUAACGAAGAACGCCGAUUGCGAAGGCAGCUUACUAAGCUGCCACUGACAUUGAUGCUCGAAAGUGUGGGUAUCAAACAGGAGUAGAUGCCCCAGUAGUC